Long non-coding RNA from Papaver somniferum (opium poppy), 887 nucleotides. RefSeq lists it as uncharacterized. The transcript has 5 exons. Lineage: Eukaryota; Viridiplantae; Streptophyta; Magnoliopsida; Ranunculales; Papaveraceae. The record is from RefSeq and is a predicted model, not a curated record.
UCUCACACAAUUUCUCUCGACCGAGCUUAAAAUUGUUUCAACCAGAUCACUAGCUCUAAUAUGAUGUUUGGGUUUGAAGAUUCAGCAUGAACAGGAUUUAUUAUAUGACCAAUUAUCAUCCUCAGUUGGACUUUUCAACAUUUUCAGAUGUAUCCAAGGCUCAGAUUUCAAACGUUUUGCUUGGUGUUAAGGAGGUACAAAUCUCCUGAAAAUUAUGUACCAGUUCACGAAGGUGUGAUAAACAAAAGGGCUCAUAUAAGAUGCAAGUCUACUAACUUUGAAAAAAAUCUGAGGAUUAGCGAAUGCAAAUACAUUUUCAGUUCAAGCUGGAAAAGAUUCAGGUGUUGUUCUUGCUGCUACUAAGACUAACAAACAGAAAGCCCUCUAACUUUGGUGCAAAAACUGUCAUGAAAAAAGAGUUCUGUAGAAUGGCUAAGGUUGUUGAUCCUCAGAUGUUAUUCAAGAUGAGAAUUUUGGGGUCUCACAAGUUUAACGAUGAUCCAGCGCAACUUUCUGGCAGAAACAUAAACUCCAAUGAACUUCAACUUUUUCGACUACUGAAGAAUAUGUGCAAUCAACAAGAACAUCAACAGGAACAACAUCAACAAUUAAGGAAACAAAGGGAAAAACAGUAAAAUCAAAAUCAUCAACAAGUUCAUCAAUUUUAUUAAUUGUUACAAAGACUCCAACGCCGAUCCAGGCCGAAUCAUCCUGAGCCAGGCCAUAAAAGGUCGACUCAGAAAACCAUUGUUACUCAUCCUCCCGUUACUUUUAUUGUAACACCCUUGUAUUAUGAAAAUCUUAGUUCAUAUUAGCUAGGCUUAUAUGUUCUUGAAAUCAUGGGGUCGGAUUUGGUCCAACCACGAUUUUGAGAAGGUUUUUAAACG